GAAGCACAGAGCGAUGUAGCUGUGUGGCCCCAGAGCCAGGGCCAGACACCUGGGUAGAGACAGGGUUUCGCCAUGUUGGCCAGGCUGGUCUCGAACUCCUGACCUCAAGUGAUCCGCCUGCCUUGGCCUCCCAAAGUGCUAGGAUUACAGACGUGAGCCACCACGCCCGGCUGGUUGCUGGCAGAGGUGGUUGGGGCUAUGUGCCUGGAGUGAAGAUUCUGCCCAUUGGUCAAGAGACCUCCCUCUCAGAUGCUGGCUCUGCCCCUGCCUUUGGGGGUCGACCCUUGUACUCGCAGGACCUUAGGUGACUCUGACUUUGUCAAAGGAAAAAUUUCUGCAUGUGCACACACAGAUCUUGGAAGUUUAUUCAUCUCAGCAGAGGCAGACAGGAGCAUCAACAGCCUUGGGGACAGCAGCAGUGGUGGUGGAGUCUGACUCUGUCACCCAGGCUGAAGUGCAGUGGCACAAUCUUGGCUCACUGCAACCUCCGCCUCCCAGGUCCAAGCCAUUCUUGUGCCUUAGCCUCCUGAGUAGCUGGGAUUGCAGAUUCUACUUCUCUGAUCAUCCAGGAAACCAAUCUGCCUGAGGACGAGUCAUACUCUGUCCUCCCACCCCAGGCUAGAGAGUGGUAUCUGUCUUUCCACAAGUUGCCACCCCUUCUGCCCUGGGAACCUGAGUUGCCUGUGCUUCAACACUAUUCUUCAUUCUGCCUUUCACAAAAUGUACCACCUAAGUGAUAAU
Molecule: non-coding RNA, 741 nt
Filed under: Pongo abelii (Sumatran orangutan)
Lineage: Eukaryota; Metazoa; Chordata; Mammalia; Primates; Hominidae
Source: RNAcentral